Molecule: ribosomal RNA, 450 nt
Filed under: uncultured bacterium
Lineage: Bacteria
Description: partial 16S ribosomal RNA
Rfam family: Bacterial small subunit ribosomal RNA
Source: RNAcentral
GUGGGGAAUCUUCCGCAAUGGACGAAAGUCUGACGGAGCAACGCCGCGUGAGUGAAGAAGGUUUUCGGAUCGUAAAGCUCUUUCGUUAGGGACGAACGUGCUCUUUGUGAAUAAUGAGGAGUAAUGACGGUACCUAAAUAAGAAGCCACGGCUAACUACGUGCCAGCAGCCGCGGUAAUACGUAGGUGACAAGCGUUGUCCGGAAUUAUUGGGCGUAAAGCGCGCGCAGGCGGGAUAUCAAGUCUGUCUUAAAAGUGCGAGGCUCAACCUCGUGAGGGGACAGAAACUGGUAUUCUUGAGUGUCGGAGAGGAAAGUGGAAUUCCAAGUGUAGCGGUGAAAUGCGUAGAGAUUUGGAAGAACACCAGUGGCGAAGGCGACUUUCUGGACGAUGUCUGACGCUGAGGCGCGAAAGCUAGGGGAGCGAACGGGAUUAGAUACCCGAGUAGUCC